Molecule: ribosomal RNA, 897 nt
Filed under: Ramboldia russula
Lineage: Eukaryota; Fungi; Ascomycota; Lecanoromycetes; Lecanorales; Ramboldiaceae
Description: eukaryotic LSU rRNA
Rfam family: Eukaryotic large subunit ribosomal RNA
Source: RNAcentral
CAGCAUAUCAAUAAGCGGAGGAAAAGAAACCAACAGGGAUUGCCUCAGUAACGGCGAGUGAAGCGGCAACAGCUCAAAUUUGAAAUCUAGCCUCUUUCCGGGGUUCGAGUUGUAAUUUGUAGAGGGUGUUUCGGGCGCGGCGCCGGUCUAAGUCCCUUGGAACAGGGCGUCGCAGAGGGUGAGAAUCCCGUAUGUGACCGGCGACCAAGCCCGUGUGAAACCCCUUCGACGAGUCGAGUUGUUUGGGAAUGCAGCUCUAAAUGGGUGGUAAAUUUCAUCUAAAGCUAAAUACCGGCCAGAGACCGAUAGCGCACAAGUAGAGUGAUCGAAAGAUGAAAAGCACUUUGGAAAGAGAGUCAAAAAGUACGUGAAAUUGUUGAAAGGGAAGCGUUGGCGACCAGACCUGCCCGUGAGCGAUCAACCGUUGUUCUCAGCGGUGCACUCGUUCACGAACAGGCCAGCAUCGGUUUGGGCGGUCGGAUAAAGACCGCGAGAAUGUAGCUCCCUUCGGGGAGUGUUAUAGCUCGUGGUGUAAUGCGGCCAGCCGGGACCGAGGACCGCGCUUCGGCUAGGAUGCUGGCGUAAUGGCCGUCAACGACCCGUCUUGAAACACGGACCAAGGAGUCUAACAUCUAUGCGAGUGUUUGGGUGUGAAACCCAUACGCGUAAUGAAAGUGAACGGAGGUGAGAACCCUUUAGGGCGCAUCAUCGACCGAUCCAGAAGUUCUCGGAUGGAUUUGAGUACGAGCAUAGCUGUUGGGACCCGAAAGAUGGUGAACUAUGCCUGAAUAGGGUGAAGCCAGAGGAAACUCUGGUGGAGGCUCGCAGCGGUUCUGACGUGCAAAUCGAUCGUCAAAUUUGGGUAUAGGGGCGAAAGACUAAUCGAACCAUCUAGUA